GCCUACGGGGGGCAGCAGUAAGGAAUAUUGGUCAAUGGAGGCAACUCUGAACCAGCCAUGCCGCGUGCAGGAAGACGGCCCUCUGGGUUGUAAACUGCUUUUAUUCGGGAAUAAACCUCCUUACGUGUAGGGAGCUGAAUGUACCGAAGGAAUAAGGAUCGGCUAACUCCGUGCCAGCAGCCGCGGUAAUACGGAGGAUCCAAGCGUUAUCCGGAUUUAUUGGGUUUAAAGGGUGCGUAGGCGGCUUAUUAAGUCAGGGGUGAAAGACGGUGGCUCAACCAUCGCAGUGCCCUUGAUACUGAUGAGCUUGAAUACAUUAGAGGUAGGCGGAAUGUGACAAGUAGCGGUGAAAUGCAUAGAUAUGUCACAGAACACCGAUUGCGAAGGCAGCUUACUAUGAUGAGAUUGACGCUGAGGCACGAAAGCGUGGGGAUCAAACAGGAUUAGAUACCCCCGUAGUCCA
RNAcentral lists this ribosomal RNA (463 nucleotides) under uncultured bacterium. RNAcentral's name for it is "bacterial SSU rRNA". It matches the Rfam family "Bacterial small subunit ribosomal RNA", at positions 337 to 797 of the family's 1533-position model. The record is from RNAcentral.